UACGUAGGGUGCAGGCGUUAAUCGGAAUUACUGGGCGUAAAGCGUGCGCAGGCGGUCUGCUAAGACAGGUGUGAAAUCCCCGGGCUUAACCUGGGAACUGCGCUUGUUACUGGCAGGCUGGAGUGUGGCAGAGGGGGGUGGAAUUCCACGUGUAGCAGUGAAAUGCGUAGAUAUCAGGAGGAACACCGAUGGCGAAGGCAGGUCUCUGGGCUGAAACUGACGCUCAUGCACGAAAGCGUGGGGAGCAAACAGG
This 253-nucleotide ribosomal RNA is filed under the name uncultured bacterium. RNAcentral's name for it is "partial 16S ribosomal RNA". It matches the Rfam family "Bacterial small subunit ribosomal RNA", at positions 524 to 776 of the family's 1533-position model. The record is from RNAcentral.